RNAcentral lists this ribosomal RNA (433 nucleotides) under uncultured bacterium. RNAcentral describes it as "partial 16S ribosomal RNA". It matches the Rfam family "Bacterial small subunit ribosomal RNA", at positions 29 to 507 of the family's 1533-position model. The record is from RNAcentral.
AACGAACGCUGGCGGCAUGCCUAACACAUGCAAGUCGAACGAGACCUUCGGGUCUAGUGGCGCACGGGUGCGUAACGCGUGGGAACCUGCCCUUAGGUUCGGAAUAACUCCCCGAAAGGGGUGCUAAUACCGGAUAAUGUCUUCGGACCAAAGAUUUAUCGCCUUUGGAUGGGCCCGCGUUGGUUUAGCUAGUUGGUAGGGUAAAAGCCUACCAAGGCGACGAUCCAUAGCUGGUCUGAGAGGAUGAUCAGCCACACUGGGACUGAGACACGGCCCAGACUCCUACGGGAGGCAGCAGUGGGGAAUAUUGGACAAUGGGCGAAAGCCUGAUCCAGCAAUGCCGCGUGAGUGAUGAAGUCCUUAGGGUUGUAAAGCUCUUUUACCCGGGAUGAUAAUGACAGUACCGGGAGAAUAAGCUCCGGCUAACUCCGUG